Pelobates fuscus (common spadefoot toad) is the source of this 167-nucleotide long non-coding RNA. RefSeq lists it as uncharacterized. NCBI's taxonomy places the organism in Eukaryota, Metazoa, Chordata, Amphibia, Anura, Pelobatidae. The transcript has 3 exons. The record is from RefSeq and is a predicted model, not a curated record.
AAUAAGAACAGAUACAUCUCCAAGGACAGACAAAUUUGACCAAUCAUGUGGAAUGGAUAUUACAAUUAUAAUCAUAGACAGCCUGGAUAUCCAAUCUUGAGGAAUUUGUUUGGAUAUGGGAUAGUUACACCUUGGUAUUAUCGGCCUCCUAGCUACCGUAGAAGCUA